GGGUAAGGGAGGAGUGAGCCUGGGUGCUGUGGGGGGAGGGGGUUGUUCAAGGGAUGGGGACGAUCAGGGUCUCUGGGAAGUGCUGACGUGUGCGCGUGUGCGGUGUGUUGCUUGUGGGUGCGUGUGUGGUGUGUGCAUGUGUGUGCGCGCGCGUGUGUGCGGGGUGUGCCGUGAGCGUGUGCCCGCGGUUCGGGGGAUGAGUAGGGGCGCUGACUUUUAGGACCAGCCAUUUGAGUCAAGCUGGAGACGACGUCUUAGAACCUAGGAUGAGUCUCGUUUGGUUUUAGUCUGCAAAGCUCGUCUGCAUCAGACAGGAAUUUUCCCCAGACGCGGGUGCACGUGAAUUAAUUCAUCAGAAGGCGGUUCACGGCCUGAGUGAGGGGGACGAGGGCGGCGAAUUCCUCCGCCUCAUUCCUACCCUGACGAUUCGAGCCUUAGCAAGUUCUGGCCUGUGGAGCCGUCAUCCAGAGCGCACAGCUUCAUGCCCUUGAAGGGCGCAGUGUGUCCCGUGGUGCCCGGUGGGCCCGGACAGAGACCCCAGAGGCUCUGUCUGAAGGAAGCUGCACCCACAGACUCCAUCCAGGCAGCGCGGGCGCGGUCCUGUCGCCUACCUUUCUCGGAAGCCAUCUGCCCAUGUGAAUCUAUGUGAAGGCCCUUCAUGCGCUCCUGGACAUCUGCGUGGGAUUUACUUCAACUGCUAUCGCUGCGAGGAGGACGAGCAUGUUUCACUGUAUUUUUAGCAGAGAGUGCAGAUUUUAGAACCUCGCGAACGGUCCUGUAUCUCCUGCACGAUGACUCUCCAGAACAGGAAUAGUGACCCUUCCUUUGCAUUUAUGGUGCAUAGGUUUUCAAAGGACAGUGUGUAAAUCAGCUUGUGUAAUAAUUGUGGCACCCACGCGCGCAAGCAGACUUACCAUGAGCUGACUUCCACUGAUUAUUUCAGUUUCCAGGGAAACGAGGUUUGCAGCCCCCUCCAGUGAGGGCGGAGCGGCCUCUCCAUUCCCAAUGCAGCAAGGCUGCUGCAGCCACGAUGAUUAGGCUUUGGAGGAGGAAGUGAACGGAUGGGGCCUCAUCCUCCUGCCUCCCUAAAGGGUGAGGGUGGAAGGAUGGGGCUGUGCCCUCUUAGGGCAGGGAAAAACAGCUUGGAGGGGUUUCUGCCAUCAGAGAUCCCAUAGGAGGCAGGUCAGUCCUGCAGAAUUUCUCCCCAGUCUGGCCUCCAGCCUCCCUGGCCCCUUUCUAGAGGCCUCCAUCCCACUGGCGGCUUGCUCCUGCCACCGGGCCUCUGCACAGUCACCUCCUGCAGCCUGGGGUGUGUCGCCUCUCCACGUCCUCACCGGCGUCUGCCUUUGCAUUUCCCAGAUGCUCGCUUCACCCCACUGAGAUGUAACUCAGUUUUGUGGGAUCCCACUGCCCUCCAGGUGCCGCUCCGAGUGCUCUACACAGAUUUUCAUUCAGUCCUUGCGGCACACGAAGGGAUGGCCUCUGCACUUCAGCUGGUUUCUGACACCUAAAAACAGAAGUGGAAAAGGGAGCAGACGCAGCCACAUUUUGAAAGCUGAUUCGGUUGCUUUCUGGCAGAAUCCCUGCCCCCAAGCACCUGCCAGGCCCACCCAUGAAGCCUCUUCCCACGCCUUAACUCUGCCCCAUGAGGGGACCUCAAGCAGUUGCAGUCUAGUCAGAGUGGCUGUACCAUUUUGCAUUCCCAGACCGAAGUGUGAAAGCUCCAGAUGCCCCACGCCCUCACCAGCCCACGGUGUUGUCAGCCUUAAUAGUGCUGACCAUUCUGCCUGUUAAUAUGAUGAAUUACACUGAUUCAGUUUCAAAUGUCCAACCAAGCUUGCACUCCAGAGAUGAAGCCCACUUGAUCACAUGGAUUAUUCUUUUAAUAUAUGAUGGAUACGACUUGGCUGUUCUUUUGUUGAGGAUUUUUGUGUUUAUGUUAAUGAGGAUAUUAUUUGUAGUUUUCUUUUCUUGUAAUGUUUUUGUCUUUGUUCAGUGUCAGAGUAAUGCCAACUUCAUAAAGUGAGCUGGGAAGUA
Molecule: long non-coding RNA, 2037 nt
Filed under: Homo sapiens (human)
Lineage: Eukaryota; Metazoa; Chordata; Mammalia; Primates; Hominidae
Description: HSALNT0317726
Source: RNAcentral